Long non-coding RNA from Triticum aestivum (bread wheat), 2877 nucleotides. RefSeq lists it as uncharacterized. NCBI's taxonomy places the organism in Eukaryota, Viridiplantae, Streptophyta, Magnoliopsida, Poales, Poaceae. The transcript is spliced from 2 exons. The record is from RefSeq and is a predicted model, not a curated record.
UUGAAAAUAGAUCCAUCCUUUUCUUUUCUGCUUCAUAUGUUAUUUCUCGUUUAUCCAUGAAUGUGAUUGCCCCUGAAAUCUUUUUGGCUCAUCGAUUAUCUGAACAUGAUCAUGUCAGUUUGUUUGAGAUUGGGGAUUUCGGAGUACUAAUCAUCCAUCUCUCAUUAUACAAUUAGGGUGAAUUAAGUAUUUAGUUGAUUUCUGGACAGAUUGAAGUAUAUAUAUUUUACUGACUAGUGUUACGUGCUAUGUUAUUAUAUGUUUAUGUAAUUCUUAUAGUUCCAUCUACAUUUUUUAUUUACUUAGCUAUGUUGCAACUCUUCGUUCCUGAUUAGAACCAUCAUGUUAUUUUAAUGUUGUUUUUCUUGUUGUUGAUUUGGGAUGUGUUCUGUAACAGCUUCUGUUUCAGAGAAUGGUUUUAGUUCAGGCUAGCUUUCUGCUCAUAGGUAGAACUUUGCAUCUGAUAUCAACUUUAAUGAAUUUUGACUAUUGUUGGGGAUGUUCUGAAGCUUGUGGACUGUAUGCUUGUAGCUGAGCUCAACCUCCAAGGCCUCUCCCUUCUCUUAUCACAUUUAUAUCCAGCAUCCAGUCUCAGGUUUCACUAUAUACUAAUUACUACUACCGUUGAAAUGAUUGGGUCUCAAUCUUCCUAUUUCCCUUUGCAGCCUGCAAGGAUCCCCAACCAUGCUGGGUGCUAAUGAUUGAGGUAUGUACUGCUUGGAUUUGCUCAGCUAAAGAAACACAUCGCAAUCAUGAUGUGUACCGACAAUUGGCUCAUUGUGGCGAGAAGCCUUUGUUUAGUCUCAAACUUCCUGGGGGAGACUAGCGUGAUUUUUGGACAGCCAUCAUGGACAAACAUUUUUAUUUUGUUCUUUGGACAAAUACGGGUAUCGUGUAACCAAACUUCCUUGCAUGUGCUACAAGUGCGUGGCACCUAAGAUGGCUGGAACACUAAGCAGAUCGGGUGGGCAUGCCAAGACUGGCAAGGGUGAGGUGGCAUUAUGCAUCAUAAGCACCUGAAUCAGAUGGUCGCAUAAUUAUAUUAUCAUUCAUUGUUUUCAGACAAAAUGUUUAUUCCAUGGUUGGUAAUGUUAAGGCUCCUCUGUUACUUCUCAAAGCAACCACACAUUUUGUAGCAAUGUUGAUGCUGCACGCCUGCUGCCAAUUUGAUUCUGCAUUUAGUACUAUGUGAGUGAACUAAGAAAGUGUUGUUUCUUUUCAGGCUAGUAAAGCAUCAUUGUGCACUUCUGGAACAACUAUCAUGGAAGUAUGGAACUAAUGCUAGCAAAACUACUCUGUGUAGUCACCUGAGGAAAAAGAUGGAACUUUAUUUUCCUGCCCAACAUUCUUUUGGAAUCUCCUUUUUUAUAUGCCAUGCUUUUUCAAGCUAGUACAGAUAAAGAUCUAGUCACAAAGAUAAGGUAAUUUGUUUCUAAUCUACUACACCUUAUAUAUUAAGAGGUACAAAGGGAGCGUCCAUAUAUGCAAUUAUUCUCAAUUGCAACAUAAUUGUUUAGUUGAGCUACUGAACUUGCUGACAGGAAAAUGCUCAAGGGUAACAACUUGAAAAUUUUCCAGGUAACUAAAUAAGAUAUUCUGACACUUUAAAAGUUGUUGUUUUAGCCAGACCACAUUCUAUUUGUGUCAGCCUACUAUAUUCUACAGUUACACUAAGAACGGAAGUACACCAGUACCAGUUUGUUUAGGUCACUACAACAUUGUGGCCAUAGUGGGUGGAUUAGGAUGCAACAUCUGUUUGUAUCUGCUGGUAUGGCAAUUUUGCUACUUGCUAGGAGAUGUUCAUCUCCAGCGUUUAUUGCAGUUUCAAAAAGCAGUUCAAUCACCUCGUAAUAGUUAUGGUGUACUAAGAUUUGGGUUAAAUAUCGGUUUGAUACACGCUGAAUUUUGAGUUAGUCUCCAAAUAGAAGUUGUAGUGUACUUCUUAAGCUUUCUAGAGAGUAUUUAUUUGUGUAUUUUUACUGGGCAGUUUGAGAGCAAUGACCACCUCAAGCUUGCUGUCCCCAAAUUAGUAUCUCUAUUCGGACAUGAUACUACAAAAGAAACAAUGCAUUGAUACUUUCCCUGUUCCUUGUAUGUUUGCUUGCUAUUUACAUAUUUAACCUUCCAAAAUAGGGCCACCAGUCAUGUCAGGAAUGCCAUUGUAUUAUUACCACACUUGAAUUGCUGGCCGACGAUGGUAAUUCAUACAACUGUAUUAUUUGCAUUGCUAAACUAUCCUGGUAUAUAUUUAGGAUCCUAUGCUACUUAUUUAGAUUACAAAUAAACUUUUCAUGUUAAUGUUUAUGUCGGUAUAUGUGCCAGCUUACACCCAGAUUUGUUUUGCCUUAUGCAGAAACUACUGGAUACUUUACAUCAAGCUUGACCAAGUAUGUCCCUUGUUGCUUCAGACAUUAGUUAUCUUCCUGCUGUUGUUAUACCUGGUGAUAGAGCUCCAUUGGUUUCUUCAAAGGGACAAAUGGCAGAAAAUAGCAAGUCCACAAGUUGAUCUAAGAUGCUCCGUGAUCGCUUUUGUUGAUAACAUUGUUGACACCUUUUGUUCAUACAGAAGUUAAUGUUAGCUUGGUGAUCGAAGAAUUGGUCUCUGCCAUCUAAUUUUGUAGUAGUCAGUGAUCAAACAAUUGGUCUCUUAGGAUCUUAGCCAUCAAAUUUUGCAACAACUUGUCUUGUAUGUCAAACUUAUGUAUUUCCUUGAUGGUUGUAGCUCACUUGAGCAAAGAAAACAAAUGAAUCUUUAUAUAUGUUGAAUGAAUGUAUGGAUGAAUGGCAGUUUGUGAUGAAUAGAAGAGUGCAAUUGCGUAUAUGCAUUGUGUACUAAACAUGAAUUAAAUAUUAUGAAUGUUAUUUAAUGUUAAAAUA